Daphnia pulex (common water flea) is the source of this 1967-nucleotide long non-coding RNA. RefSeq lists it as uncharacterized. The record is from RefSeq and is a predicted model, not a curated record. The transcript is spliced from 11 exons. Lineage: Eukaryota; Metazoa; Arthropoda; Branchiopoda; Diplostraca; Daphniidae.
UUUCUUUUGAACCGUGACGCUGUCCGAGAACAGUGACUCUCGACAUUGCUGAGUGCUUUUUUCAGAAAUUUUUCGUCGAAAAAGCCUUAUGGAGUCUGAGCUUCAUGUGUUGCGUGCACGUUAUCGCUGACUUCAUUGACUUGUCAUGAAGAUGCAUCCUAGAGAAGGUUCUAUCAUAUUGAAUGACAAAUGAGAUGAAAAGAGGAAAUCUGGAAAAGUUGUUAAAAGUUGCCAGUUUGAAUCAUCAGUGGGCAAGCAUUUUGCUAAUCUGUAGUCGACUAUGGAUGUGACACAUAUUCUGUGUUUUGAAUACGAGUUGUAUAUUACAUUUUUGAUAAAGAAAGAAUCCGACACCUACUUGUUUUCAAGAUUCCUUGAUCAGUUCGGUGUUUGAGCUGUUGAUGGUGUUGUCUGGUGCGAAUCUUGCAGUCAUUUUCCAUCUGAGAGCUUCCCUGUAAUGGAACUUGUAUUAACUUGCAGUCGGACUUAAGUGUUAUGGUGGUGCUCAUGUAUUCAUGGACCGUUAAUCGAACUGUUUUGUUGGGUCUGUUUGGGGUGCAGUGGUUUUCCAGUUGCGAGAUGCGUAGCAGUGGAGCUUAAGCAGAUAACUUGUUUAAUAGUUUCAGAGUUUGUUCACCAGCGGUCAACACCCUAGUGUUGGCAACAUGGCAAACUUUUGUCGCCGACGUCAUUUCUAUUCCUGGUGCUGUCAAUUCCGGUGUUCGUGAACAGUGCCGUCAAACAUUCUUCUUCACAGAUAUCCCCAAAAUUUUUUUAGGGAAUUCUUGGUAUACCUAUAUUUCCAUCUUGUCACUUGUAGAUUCAUUAAUAAAAAUUAAAUGCUGAGGUUUUUGAAGAACAUUGAAGAAAUUUCAGCCUAUUCCUAGAUUUUCUACAUUCUUUGGGUCUUGCCUGUGAUACACAUCUGUUCUUGUCAUUUAAAGUCUUUUCCCUGUAGGUUUUGUUGUUUGUUCAAUGGAAAGUAAUAGGAAUGAUGUACUUAAUUAACAUUGCCACUUAACACUUUUUCAUUUGGUAAUAAUGCUUCUUUUCAAGUAGGAUUAAUUGCUUGGUCAAGCUGAGCUUUUUCAAGGCUGUUCAAUUUCCACUGCAAUAUGUUGCAGCCAGUUGGUUGAUGGUGUGGUGAACUGUUGUAUGAAGACCAUGCGCUGUUAUGAGCUUCUGGAUACAAUCCGGUGCUGGUGUGGGGAAUUGUUGAUGCUGUCUGUGGAGUUUGGGCUUGAAAUUUUUAAGAGUUCACUGCCUUAACAAUUGAGUGCAAAUAUCCAGUCAGUUAGAUGUCUGACUUUAAUUGAUGUCUCUAUUUGGUGUGUAUUUCAUAUUUGGGUGGUUAGCCAGAUUUUGAAUGGGAGUUAAAGUCAAAUUGAGCUGCACGUUCUGCAAGCGAUCUUCAUUGCUGAUGUCAUCCUGAAGUGUAAAAUCAAUGAAGUCAUCUUGAAAUGGUCUUGGCUAUGAAGUUAUUAUCAUCAAUCCUCUGCAUGCAGUUGUUAUCAAAAGUUGGAGAAGUAAGACGGCAAAGCUGCCAGAAAAAGAAAUGGUCUCUACGGAAAUGUGCAGCGGUUUUGCAGUCCGACUUUGUUCAAGCUGUUGCUUUCCUGAAUUUUGCUAGUCUUUGAAGUAGCUGAACCUGAAGUUAUGAUGCUGGUGUUAUCCUGAAAUAGCUGUUGUUGGUGCUAUCAAAUUACUGUGGCAGUGCAAUUCGGUUAUAUUAUAUCUAUAUAGUAUGUGAUUGUAGUAACCUUAAGCUAUUUCGUCACCCAUUGUGUCAUGUUGCAAUCUGACGUUUGUAUUGUUUAAACAACAGUUGUGCUACUGAUAUUAUCCUCACCCAUAUCUAGAAAUAAUGUUAUGUCAAAGUUAACUUGCAAUAUUUCGAUGUGCGUUGGAAAUUUAAGCUCGAUAUAUUUUCACAAAUUAUAAAAUAAAUAAAAACAAAACCAACUUUA